AACGAACGCUGGCGGCAUGCCUAACACAUGCAAGUCGAACGAGAUCUUCGGGUCUAGUGGCGCACGGGUGCGUAACGCGUGGGAAUCUGCCCUUUGGUUCGGAAUGACAGUUGGAAACGACUGCUCAUACCGGAUGAUGACGAAAGUCCAAAGAUUUAUCGCCAGAGGAUGAGCCCGCGUAGGAUUAGCUAGUUGGUGUGGUAAAGGCGCACCAAGGCGACGAUCCUUAGCUGGUCUGAGAGGAUGAUCAGCCACACUGGGACUGAGACACGGCCCAGACUCAGACGGGAGGCAGCAGUGGGGAAUAUUGGACAAUGGGCGAAAGCCUGGUCCAGCAAUGCCGCGUGAGUGAUGAAGGCCUUAGGGUUGGAAAGCUCUUUUACCCGGGAUGAUAAGGACAGUACCGGGAGAAUAAGCUCCGGCUAACUCCGUGCCAGCAGCCGCAGUAA
Molecule: ribosomal RNA, 449 nt
Filed under: uncultured bacterium
Lineage: Bacteria
Description: partial 16S ribosomal RNA
Rfam family: Bacterial small subunit ribosomal RNA
Source: RNAcentral